AAUCAACGCUGGCGGCGUGCCUCAGACAUGCAAGUCGAACGAGAAAGUUCCCUUCGGGGAAUGAGUAAAGUGGCGCACGGGUGAGUAACACGUAGGUAAUCUACCUUCGGGUGGGGAAUAACCCAGGGAAACGUUGGGCUAACACCGCAUAAUGCAGCGGCACCACAUGGUGACAGUUGUUAAAGCGGGGGAGUUUAGGUACCUCGCGCCUGAAGAGGAGCCUGCGGCGGAUUAGCAGUUGGUAGGGUAACGGCUUACCAAGGCGACGAUCCGUAACCGGCCUGAGAGGGGCGGGUCGGUCACACUGACACUGACAUACGGGUCAGACUCCUACGGGGAGGCAGCAGUCGGGGAAUUUUGGGCAAUGGGCGAAAGCCUGACCCAGCAACGCCGCGUGAAGGAUGAAA
Molecule: ribosomal RNA, 407 nt
Filed under: uncultured bacterium
Lineage: Bacteria
Description: bacterial SSU rRNA
Rfam family: Bacterial small subunit ribosomal RNA
Source: RNAcentral